This 421-nucleotide ribosomal RNA is filed under the name uncultured bacterium. Its description in RNAcentral is "bacterial SSU rRNA". It matches the Rfam family "Bacterial small subunit ribosomal RNA", at positions 355 to 774 of the family's 1533-position model. The record is from RNAcentral.
UAAGGAAUAUUGGUCAAUGGACGCAAGUCUGAACCAGCCAUUCCGCGUGAAGGAUGAAGGUCCUCUGGAUUGUAAACUUCUUUUAUCUGGGACGAAAACGGGAUUUUUAUCUCAAUUGACGGUACCAGAGGAAUAAGCACCGGCUAACUCCGUGCCAGCAGCCGCGGUAAUACGGAGGGUGCGAGCGUUAUCCGGAUUUACUGGGUUUAAAGGGUGCGUAGGUGGGCUUAUAAGUCAGUGGUGAAAUCUCCGAGCUUAACUUGGAAACUGCCGUUGAUACUAUAGGUCUUGAAUUAUCUGGAGGUAAGCGGAAUAUGUCAUGUAGCGGUGAAAUGCUUAGAUAUGACAUAGAACACCAAUUGCGAAGGCAGCUUACUACAUAUAAAUUGACGCUGAGGCACGAAAGCGUGGGGAUCAAACA